RNAcentral lists this ribosomal RNA (486 nucleotides) under Salmonella enterica subsp. enterica serovar Infantis. Its description in RNAcentral is "partial 23S ribosomal RNA". It matches the Rfam family "Bacterial large subunit ribosomal RNA", at positions 1292 to 1773 of the family's 2925-position model. RNAcentral also lists the same sequence under 2 other names. Lineage: Bacteria; Pseudomonadati; Pseudomonadota; Gammaproteobacteria; Enterobacterales; Enterobacteriaceae. The record is from RNAcentral.
GAAUGCUGACAUAAGUAACGAUAAAGCGGGUGAAAAGCCCGCUCGCCGGAAGACCAAGGGUUCCUGUCCAACGUUAAUCGGGGCAGGGUGAGUCGACCCCUAAGGCGAGGCCGAAAGGCGUAGUCGAUGGGAAACGGGUUAAUAUUCCCGUACUUGGUGUUACUGCGAAGGGGGGACGGAGAAGGCUAUGUUGGCCGGGCGACGGUUGUCCCGGUUUAAGCGUGUAGGUGUGUGUUCCAGGUAAAUCCGGUUCACUUUAACACUGAGGCGUGAUGACGAGGCACUACGGUGCUGAAGCAACAAAUGCCCUGCUUCCAGGAAAAGCCUCUAAGCAUCAGGUAACAUCAAAUCGUACCCCAAACCGACACAGGUGGUCAGGUAGAGAAUACCAAGGCGCUUGAGAGAACUCGGGUGAAGGAACUAGGCAAAAUGGUGCCGUAACUUCGGGAGAAGGCACGCUGACAUGUAGGUGAAGUGAUUUACUCA